GGUUAAGCGACUAAGCGUACACGGUGGAUGCCCUGGCAGUCAGAGGCGAUGAAGGACGUGCUAAUCUGCGAUAAGCGUCGGUGAGGUGAUAUGAACCGUUAUAACCGGCGAUUUCCGAAUGGGGAAACCCAGUGUGUUUCGACACACUAUCAUUAACUGAAUCCAUAGGUUAAUGAGGCGAACCGGGGGAACUGAAACAUCUAAGUACCCCGAGGAAAAGAAAUCAACCGAGAUUCCCCCAGUAGCGGCGAGCGAACGGGGAGGAGCCCAGAGCCUGAAUCAGUGUGUGUGUUAGUGGAAGCGUCUGGAAAGGCGCGCGAUACAGGGUGACAGCCCCGUACACAAAAAUGCACAUAUUGUGAGCUCGAUGAGUAGGGCGGGACACGUGGUAUCCUGUCUGAAUAUGGGGGGACCAUCCUCCAAGGCUAAAUACUCCUGACUGACCGAUAGUGAACCAGUACCGUGAGGGAAAGGCGAAAAGAACCCCGGCGAGGGGAGUGAAAAAGAACCUGAAACCGUGUACGUACAAGCAGUGGGAGCCUCUUAAUGGGGUGACUGCGUACCUUUUGUAUAAUGGGUCAGCGACUUAUAUUCUGUAGCAAGGUUAACCGAAUAGGGGAGCCGAAGGGAAACCGAGUCUUAACUGGGCGUUAAGUUGCAGGGUAUAGACCCGAAACCCGGUGAUCUAGCCAUGGGCAGGUUGAAGGUUGGGUAACACUAACUGGAGGACCGAACCGACUAAUGUUGAAAAAUUAGCGGAUGACUUGUGGCUGGGGGUGAAAGGCCAAUCAAACCGGGAGAUAGCUGGUUCUCCCCGAAAGCUAUUUAGGUAGCGCCUCGUGAAUUCAUCUCCGGGGGUAGAGCACUGUUUCGGCAAGGGGGUCAUCCCGACUUACCAACCCGAUGCAAACUGCGAAUACCGGAGAAUGUUAUCACGGGAGACACACGGCGGGUGCUAACGUCCGUCGUGAAGAGGGAAACAACCCAGACCGCCAGCUAAGGUCCCAAAGUCAUGGUUAAGUGGGAAACGAUGUGGGAAGGCCCAGACAGCCAGGAUGUUGGCUUAGAAGCAGCCAUCAUUUAAAGAAAGCGUAAUAGCUCACUGGUCGAGUCGGCCUGCGCGGAAGAUGUAACGGGGCUAAACCAUGCACCGAAGCUGCGGCAGCGACACUAUGUGUUGUUGGGUAGGGGAGCGUUCUGUAAGCCUGUGAAGGUGUACUGUGAGGUAUGCUGGAGGUAUCAGAAGUGCGAAUGCUGACAUAAGUAACGAUAAAGCGGGUGAAAAGCCCGCUCGCCGGAAGACCAAGGGUUCCUGUCCAACGUUAAUCGGGGCAGGGUGAGUCGACCCCUAAGGCGAGGCCGAAAGGCGUAGUCGAUGGGAAACAGGUUAAUAUUCCUGUACUUGGUGUUACUGCGAAGGGGGGACGGAGAAGGCUAUGUUGGCCGGGCGACGGUUGUCCCGGUUUAAGCGUGUAGGCUGGUUUUCCAGGCAAAUCCGGAAAAUCAAGGCUGAGGCGUGAUGACGAGGCACUACGGUGCUGAAGCGACAAAUGCCCUGCUUCCAGGAAAAGCCUCUAAGCAUCAGGUAACAUCAAAUCGUACCCCAAACCGACACAGGUGGUCAGGUAGAGAAUACCAAGGCGCUUGAGAGAACUCGGGUGAAGGAACUAGGCAAAAUGGUGCCGUAACUUCGGGAGAAGGCACGCUGAUAUGUAGGUGAAGCGACUUGCUCGUGGAGCUGAAAUCAGUCGAAGAUACCAGCUGGCUGCAACUGUUUAUUAAAAACACAGCACUGUGCAAACACGAAAGUGGACGUAUACGGUGUGACGCCUGCCCGGUGCCGGAAGGUUAAUUGAUGGGGUUAGCGGUAACGCGAAGCUCUUGAUCGAAGCCCCGGUAAACGGCGGCCGUAACUAUAACGGUCCUAAGGUAGCGAAAUUCCUUGUCGGGUAAGUUCCGACCUGCACGAAUGGCGUAAUGAUGGCCAGGCUGUCUCCACCCGAGACUCAGUGAAAUUGAACUCGCUGUGAAGAUGCAGUGUACCCGCGGCAAGACGGAAAGACCCCGUGAACCUUUACUAUAGCUUGACACUGAACAUUGAGCCUUGAUGUGUAGGAUAGGUGGGAGGCUUUGAAGUGUGGACGCCAGUCUGCAUGGAGCCGACCUUGAAAUACCACCCUUUAAUGUUUGAUGUUCUAACGUGGGCCCCUUACCGGGGUUGCGGACAGUGUCUGGUGGGUAGUUUGACUGGGGCGGUCUCCUCCUAAAGAGUAACGGAGGAGCACGAAGGUUGGCUAAUCCUGGUCGGACAUCAGGAGGUUAGUGCAAUGGCAUAAGCCAGCUUGACUGCGAGCGUGACGGCGCGAGCAGGUGCGAAAGCAGGUCAUAGUGAUCCGGUGGUUCUGAAUGGAAGGGCCAUCGCUCAACGGAUAAAAGGUACUCCGGGGAUAACAGGCUGAUACCGCCCAAGAGUUCAUAUCGACGGCGGUGUUUGGCACCUCGAUGUCGGCUCAUCACAUCCUGGGGCUGAAGUAGGUCCCAAGGGUAUGGCUGUUCGCCAUUUAAAGUGGUACGCGAGCUGGGUUUAGAACGUCGUGAGACAGUUCGGUCCCUAUCUGCCGUGGGCGCUGGAGAACUGAGGGGGGCUGCUCAUAGUACGAGAGGACCGGAGUGGACGCAUCACUGGUGUUCGGGUUGUCAUGCCAAUGGCACUGCCCGGUAGCUAAAUGCGGAAGAGAUAAGUGCUGAAAGCAUCUAAGCACGAAACUUGCCCCGAGAUGAGUUCUCCCUGACUCCUUGAGAGUCCUGAAGGAACGUUGAAGACGACGACGUUGAUAGGCCGGGUGUGUAAGCGCAGCGAUGCGUUGAGCUAACCGGUACUAAUGAACCGUGAGGCUUAACCUU
This 2904-nucleotide ribosomal RNA is filed under the name Escherichia coli. RNAcentral's name for it is "23S ribosomal RNA". It matches the Rfam family "Bacterial large subunit ribosomal RNA". The record is from RNAcentral. Lineage: Bacteria; Pseudomonadati; Pseudomonadota; Gammaproteobacteria; Enterobacterales; Enterobacteriaceae.